RNA transcript from Physeter macrocephalus (sperm whale), 805 nucleotides. RefSeq lists it as uncharacterized. NCBI's taxonomy places the organism in Eukaryota, Metazoa, Chordata, Mammalia, Artiodactyla, Physeteridae. The record is from RefSeq and is a predicted model, not a curated record. The transcript is spliced from 3 exons.
UUUAUGUACUACCUGCAGUUUUAUUGAUCUGUAGAGGGAGAUAAGAGUCAAUACAGAAUUCUCAGCUAACACUUAGAGGUACUUUUCUUUUUUAUUUCUCAUGCAGCUAAAAACAGGUAUUUCUAAGGCGAACGGUCCCAGUGUGGCCUACACUGAGGUCUGACAUUAGCUAUUCCUAAUGUCAGAUUCAGCCCUGGAACGGUGAAUGUAGGUAGCAUCUUUGAAUUAGGAAUGCUUUGCUUCGUGGGGCCUGCGUAUUGAAUCUUUGUCCAGUGGAUAGCAGUCACCAAACCGGAUUCCUGCAGGCUCAGUAGGGUGAACAUGUGAUUUGUCAUCCAGACUGGGAUACUUCUGAGAAUGGCAGAGGAGCUACUGUCAGAACGACACUAAGGUUUUGGAGCAGCCAGUAGUCGUGCAAAGUGUGGGCACUGAUGGACGUGUCUUCCAGUUCCUGGUGCUACAGCUGAACACCACAGAUCUGGCCUCUGAUGAGGGUGUCAAGAAUCUAGUCUGGGUAGACUCGGAUCAGCUCCUCUAUGAGCAUUUUUGGUGUCUCCCGGUGGUCAGAAGGAAGGCAGUUGUGGAACCUGUUGGGCCGACUGGUUUCCAGCCAGAGACAUUCAGGAAGUUUUUAGCUCUGUAUUUGCAUGGUGCUGUGUGAGCCAAGGACCGUUCUGAGGCCUGGAGCUCCCUGUGCCCCCUCUCCCUGAGGAUCCUGGGGCCUGGGUGGUGCCUGGGGCCUGCUCGGAGCCCAGUGCUCCUUUGGCUGGUGGUCUCACUGACAAUAAAGAGCCCUUCCGGUGCA